Bufo gargarizans (Asiatic toad) is the source of this 419-nucleotide long non-coding RNA. RefSeq lists it as uncharacterized. NCBI's taxonomy places the organism in Eukaryota, Metazoa, Chordata, Amphibia, Anura, Bufonidae. The record is from RefSeq and is a predicted model, not a curated record. The transcript is spliced from 3 exons.
CCCACAGGCACACGCCACACUGCCGACCGAAACUUCACAGGACAGCGGUGACCCUUCAAAAGAUCAGCAACAUAGUGCAGUACCCGUGAAUAUGUCAAAGAUAAAGGCUUUAUUAUACUUACAACAGCACUGCUAGAAAUCAGCGUAUAAAGUCAUCUGAAAUAUCACUGCGCGACCCGGGUUUCGCCUGGAGGCUUCGUCAGGGGCUCUACAAAGGUUCAUACAAUAUAGGAUCCUCUCAGUGGAUAUCUUCUAUAUGACAGCAAUCUCCUGAUUGACCCUUCAAGGAUGGAUAGGGACAGGGACAAGAUGGCGGAGAGUAUAAUAAAUCUCACCCUAGAGGUCCUCUUCUUGCUUACUGGAGAGGACUACACAGUAGUAAAGAAGACCUCUAGUGAGCGCUGUCAGGACCCUGUGUC